Molecule: non-coding RNA, 78 nt
Organism: Schistosoma mansoni
Lineage: Eukaryota; Metazoa; Platyhelminthes; Trematoda; Strigeidida; Schistosomatidae
Source: Rfam
AACUUUUUUAAUUCGUACUGAGAUUUUGUCAGACGCCAACCCAUUAGGGCUGAUCAGACUUCCAAGAUAAGUGAAGUU